RNAcentral lists this non-coding RNA (148 nucleotides) under Pan paniscus (pygmy chimpanzee). Lineage: Eukaryota; Metazoa; Chordata; Mammalia; Primates; Hominidae. The record is from Rfam by way of RNAcentral. RNAcentral also lists the same sequence under 1 other name.
GCCAGGCAUGGUGGCUCAUGCCUGUAAUCCCAGCUACUCGGGAGGCUGAGGCAGGAGAAUCGCUUGAACCCGGGAGGUGGAGGUUGCAGUGAGCCGAGAUUGUGCCACUGCACUCCUGCCUGGGCGACAGAGCGAGAUUCUGUUUCCA